This 2141-nucleotide long non-coding RNA is filed under the name Zea mays. RNAcentral's name for it is "long non-coding RNA (ZMAY_LNC005194)". Lineage: Eukaryota; Viridiplantae; Streptophyta; Magnoliopsida; Poales; Poaceae. The record is from RNAcentral.
AUCCGGCAGCACCUCCCUUGAUAGAAGCAUAACAGGGGGAAAACAUAGAGUUCAUACAUGAUAUAAAAGAGAUAAUUCACGUAGUAGAAUCUAAAAGCAAAAGUGGUGAAACACAUUCAUGACCAAAUAAAAGGAUAGGUAACUCAGCCCACCCCAAAAACAGCUCAACCACCAUGAAAAGCUAGAACAUAUCAAUUCCCUAGACUUGACCCUCCCUGAUUAACAACAUUAUUAAGCAGUGGUUCCUUUAUUAAAGGUGUAGUGGUCGUGCUACUACAUCCCUCUUUUCCCAAAGCAGAAAUCAGGUGCCUGCAUUAAACAAUGCAAGAGUGAGAUGACACAUCUCAGCAAGUAAACAUAGCAAACCACAAUUGGACAAUGUAAACCAACUGUGCUUAAACAACCACGUAGUUCAAAACUUCUUUCUUGAAUAGUAAUUUGCAGCAAGUAAGAAAGUAACUAAUUACUUAACGCCAAGAAGAAUCACAAUGUAAAAAUCCACACUAUUCACAUCCACAUAAUAAAUUCCACACCUCUCCCAUGAAUGCACAUGGCUACAGAUGCAGUAAUGACUUCUGCCUUCAUAUCUCUGAGGAUAUGAAGCUGCAUCAUACCCCUUCUCGGGCAACAUAUGAUGCUCAAUGUACCAGUACGGUCGGACCAUAAGAUCACGAUGAACUUCCAUGCAGUGAAUAAUGAAUGCAUUAUGCAUGACAACAACAUGAGUUCUUCCCAAAUAAAAUGUGCUAGACAUAUACUUCCACCCAUUCCACAUAAUAACCACUUGAGUAACAUGGUCAAACCACAAACUCAACAUAUGUAAUCAAUAAAACACGAAUAUCUUCAAAUGAUGGUACUCAAUUAAAAAUAUGAAUACGAACACAAUAGCACAACAUAAUCAAGUAUAAGACUCUUCAUUCGACAGACGGAAUAACCAUCACUGUUUUACUUGCCUUCAUCAGAAGUUUGGGCAAAUCCCUAAGUACGAUCUGGAAGUCCACCACCUGUUUUUGAUACCCAACUUAGUGCACCAAAUUCACAUAAUAAGCCUAAAAACAAUGCCGCACCUACGUGCAGUCUCAAACCCCGCCGCGGGUAACAAUUCUCCCCACACCCACCAAACUGCAGCGGCGCUGCUUAACAAUUCCAUAACUUUAAAAUUAAGGCAGCAGUGAUGACAAACAAAAACUCCAGAGACAACUACAUAAAAUUCCCCAUAAGUUUUGUAUACAAUUUAUGAUUAAAUUCCAACAUCUAACUACCCCAAAACGGUCCACAAGAUAAACCCUGUAAUCUAUUUUUUUCUCUUUUAGGCAGCGACAUACUCGGAUUCAAACAGCGAUAACAUUUAAAAUAUAAUUCCGAAUCAAGCGCAUAAGUACUUGUUGGAAAGGUAAGAAAAAGACCUACAUGAUUCUCAUACUGAUUAACACUAAUUACUCACGAAAAAUCCCCAGAAACUGAUAAUACUGCUGCUGUUCGUCCACCUGAAAAUCUGUUUUUUGGACAGCCACAUACCCGGAUCCAAACGGUGAUACCUUUUAAUUUAUAACUCCAAAUUGAGCGCAUAAAUACUCGUUGGAAAGGUAUGCCAAAGUUCUACAUGAUUCCCAAACUGAUUCCCAUUAAUUUCCCACGAAAAAUGCCCAGAAACCACUAAUACUGCUGCUGUUCGUCCACCUGAAUAUCUGUUUUUUUGGACAGCCACAUACCCGGAUUCAAACGGUGAUAUCUUUUAAUUUAUAACUCCAAAUUGAGCGCAUAAAUACUCGUUGGAAAGGUAUACCAAAGUUCUACAUUAUUCCUAAACUGAGUCCCAUUAAUUUCCCACGAAAAAUGCCCAGAAACCACUAAUACUGCUGCUGUUCGUCCACCCCCUAAAAUUCUGGACAGCCCUUCUACCAAAUCGCAUACGCAACAUCUAAUCAAUUGGAUUGCAGCACAAAUGAACAAGAGAUCAACACAAAAAUCACCUUGAAUUCUCCCCCUUUCCUUCCUCCACCGAAAACAAUUGAAGAUUUGCACCACGCGACGUAGAUCCGAGCGGCAAGGAAUGGCACCUUGGGAGGAGGAGAUGGGGGGGCUAGGGUUAGGUGGUGUGGCUGCAAGGGUUUGAGGGAGGAGGAGAUGGGAGGGGGGCG